UUUCCGGUUGAUCCCGCCAGACCUGACUGCUAUCGGAUUGAUACUAAGCCAUGCGAGUCUUUGUAGUAAUACAAGGCAGACGGCUCAGUAACGCGUAGUCAACCUACCCUAUGGACGGGAAUAAUCUCGGGAAACUGAGCAUAAUACCCGGCGUACCACCAUUCCUGGAAUGGUUGGUGGUUAAAAUGAUUCGUCGCCGUAGGAUGGGACUGCGACUUAUCAGCUUGUUGGUGAGGUAAAGGCCCACCAAGGCGAUUACAGGUACGGGCUCUGAGAGGAGAAGCCCGGAGAUGGGUACUGAGACACGGACCCAGGCCCUAUGGGGCGCAGCAGGCGAGAAAACUUUGCAAUGUGCGAAAGCACGACAAGGUUAAUCCGAGUGAUUUCUGCUAAAGGAAUCUUUUGCCAGUUCUAAAAAUACUAGUGAAUAAGGGGUGGGCAAGUUCUGGUGUCAGCCGCCGCGGUAAAACCAGCACCUCAAGUGGUCAGGAGGAUUAUUGGGCCUAAAGCAUCCGUAGCCUGCUCUGUAAGUUUUCGGUUAAAUCUAUAUGCUCAACGUAUAGGCUGCCGAAAAUACUGCAGUGCUAGGAAGUGGGAGAGGUAGACGGUACUUGAUAGGAAGGGGUAAAAUCCUUUGAUCUAUCGAUGACCACCUGUGGCGAAGGCGGUCUACCAGAACACGUUCGACGGUGAGGGAUGAAAGCUGGGGGAGCAAACCGGAUUAGAUACCCGGGUAGUCCCAGCUGUAAACGAUGCAGACUAGAUGAUGCAUUGGCAUAUAGCCAGUGCAGUGUCUCAGGGAAGCCGUUAAGUCUGCCGCCUGGGAAGUACGUACGCAAGUAUGAAACUUAAAGGAAUUGGCGGGGGAGCACCACAAGGGGUGAAGCCUGCGGUUCAAUUGGAUUCAACGCCGGG
RNAcentral lists this ribosomal RNA (915 nucleotides) under uncultured archaeon. RNAcentral's name for it is "bacterial SSU rRNA". It matches the Rfam family "Archaeal small subunit ribosomal RNA", at positions 1 to 922 of the family's 1478-position model. The record is from RNAcentral.